UGGGGAAUAUUGGACAAUGGGCGAAAGCCUGAUCCAGCCAUGCCGCGUGUGUGAAGAAGGUCUUCGGAUUGUAAAGCACUUUAAGUUGGGAGGAAGGGCAGUAAGCGAAUACCUUGCUGUUUUGACGUUACCGACAGAAUAAGCACCGGCUAACUCUGUGCCAGCAGCCGCGGUAAUACAGAGGGUGCAAGCGUGAAUCGGAAUUACUGGGCGUAAAGCGCGCGUAGGUGGUUCGUUAAGUUGGAUGGGAAAGCCCCGGGCUCAACCUGGGAACUGCAUCCAAAACUGGCGGGCUAGAGUAGGGCAGAGGGUGGUGGAAUUUCCUGUGUAGCGGUGAAAUGCGUAGAUAUAGGAAGGAACGCCAGUGGCGAAGGCGACCACCUGGGCUCAUACUGACACUGAGGUGCGAAAGCGUGGGGAGCAAACAGG
RNAcentral lists this ribosomal RNA (429 nucleotides) under bacterium. Its description in RNAcentral is "partial 16S ribosomal RNA". It matches the Rfam family "Bacterial small subunit ribosomal RNA", at positions 355 to 776 of the family's 1533-position model. The record is from RNAcentral.